CCCGGGCUCAACCUGGGAACUGCAUUCGAAACUGGCAGGCUUGAGUCUUGUAGAGGGGGGUAGAAUUCCAGGUGUAGCGGUGAAAUGCGUAGAGAUCUGGAGGAAUACCGGUGGCGAAGGCGGCCCCCUGGACAAAGACUGACGCUCAGGUGCGAAAGCGUGGGGAGCAAACAGGAUUAGAUACCCUGGUAGUCCACGCCGUAAACGAUGUCUACUUGGAGGUUGUGCCCUUGAGGCGUGGCUUCCGGAGCUAACGCGUUAAGUAGACCGCCUGGGGAGUACGGCCGCAAGGUUAAAACUCAAAUGAAUUGACGGGGGCCCGCACAAGCGGUGGAGCAUGUGGUUUAAUUCGAUGCAACGCGAAGAACCUUACCUGGUCUUGACAUCCACAGAAGAAUCCAGAGAUGGAUUUGUGCCUUCGGGAACUGUGAGACAGGUGCUGCAUGGCUGUCGUCAGCUCGUGUUGUGAAAUGUUGGGUUAAGUCCCGCAACGAGCGCAACCCUUAUCCUUUGUUGCCAGCGGUUAGGCCGGGAACUCAAAGGAGACUGCCAGUGAUAAACUGGAGGAAGGUGGGGAUGACGUCAAGUCAUCAUGGCCCUUACGACCAGGGCUACACACGUGCUACAAUGGCGCAUACAAAGAGAAGCGACCUCGCGAGAGCAAGCGGACCUCAUAAAGUGCGUCGUAGUCCGGAUUGGAGUCUGCAACUCGACUCCAUGAAGUCGGAAUCGCUAGUAAUCGUGGAUCAGAAUGCCACGGUGAAUACGUUCCCGGGCCUUGUACACACCGCCCGUCACACCAUGGGAGUGGGUUGCAAAAGAAGUAGGUAGCUUAACCUUCGGGAGGGCGCUUACCACUUUGUGAUUCAUGACUGGGGUGAAGUCGUAACAAGGUAACCGUAGGGGAACCUGCGGUUGGAUCACCUCCUUACCUUAAAGAA
Molecule: ribosomal RNA, 941 nt
Filed under: Salmonella enterica subsp. enterica serovar Enteritidis
Lineage: Bacteria; Pseudomonadati; Pseudomonadota; Gammaproteobacteria; Enterobacterales; Enterobacteriaceae
Description: bacterial SSU rRNA
Rfam family: Bacterial small subunit ribosomal RNA
Source: RNAcentral